Long non-coding RNA from Tarenaya hassleriana, 873 nucleotides. RefSeq lists it as uncharacterized. The record is from RefSeq and is a predicted model, not a curated record. The transcript is spliced from 3 exons. Lineage: Eukaryota; Viridiplantae; Streptophyta; Magnoliopsida; Brassicales; Cleomaceae.
CACAUUUACGUAGGACCCACACAAACUACUCUCUACGAGCAGGAUCACAGAAGUUUUCUUCACUCUACAAUAAUUUAUUUGUCUAUUAAUACAUGCUCUUUAUAGAGCCUUUUGAUAACUGACGCAAACCCGAUGAAAAAACCAUAACACUUAUCUAUUAAAAACUGUAAUAAAAAAUGAACUUGAUCCAUAGUUCCAACAGUUUCAUCCUCUAUAUACUAUCUUUUGUUUUCCCUUGGAUCUAAGUGGGUUGGCAGGUGAACUUUGAUGCUGUUUUUUUUUCUCCUUGCACUUGUUGAUAGGCGUAUCCAAAACUGUAUGGCGAUGAUACCCCCAGGCUCUUUGUUUUCUGGACUUCUCAGAAUUACCAAAAUGGAUGCCGCAACCUCCUAUGUGAAGGCUUUGUUCAAAAAUCUGGCACUAACGCGGUUGGAGCAGCCUUGGAAAAAUUCUCGACUUACAAUGGCCAAAAGAUAGAUAUCCACGUAACUGUAAGGAAGGAUCCCUUUUUCGGAGAUUGGUGGUUGAUAAUCAACGGAGUAUCUAUCGGGUAUUGGCCGAGGUCGCUCUUCACAUCUAUGCAGGACUUCGCGGAUCGCGUGAGCUUUGGUGGGGAGAUCGUGAAUGCACAGAUCGGAGGCGAGCAGCACACAGAAACCACUAUGGGGAGUGGCCACUUUUCCUGGGAAGGGUUCGGCAAGGCGUGCUCCAUGGAUCAAAUCUACGUGUACAAUGAGCGGGGCACAAAGGCAUGGCCCCAUGUUACUGAUAUCUCGACCACAAAUACACAUUGUUACGAUUUAUCACUCGGGACCAACGACUUGGGAACUUAUAUCUACUUUGGGGGACCCGGUAGAAACGUUAAUUGCCCCU